Molecule: long non-coding RNA, 327 nt
Filed under: Elaeis guineensis (African oil palm)
Lineage: Eukaryota; Viridiplantae; Streptophyta; Magnoliopsida; Arecales; Arecaceae
Description: long non-coding RNA (EGUI_LNC045086)
Source: RNAcentral
UAACUUCUUAAAAUUAAGGAGUAUAGAGGGAACAUCCAUGUCCUCAUUGUUAGAAAAUCGGAUAGGCGGCAUGUGUAGGUUUCAAAACUUUAAAAGCAGACAGCGAAAAACAAAAUGGGUUAAACUUUUUAACCCCACAUGCUAGAUACCAGAUCCAAAUCUACCCAAGCUUAGGAGAAAGCACAUAUUAUCAAUCUAAAAUUUAAAAAAAAAUUAUGAGAUCAGAUCUCAUUACCUUUGCAUAGGUAGACAUUCACCGCUAUUGAUGACCUCGAAUUCAUAGAAGGUUGAGCCGUAUACGUGUUCGACCUCUACGGAUAUCCAUCG